ACGGGGUGCAGCAGGCGCGAAAACUUUACAAUGCGGGAAACCGUGGUAAGGGGACACCGAGUGCCAGCGUCAUACGCUGGCUGUCCAGAUGUGUAAAAUACACCUGUCAGCAAGGGCCGGGCAAGACCGGUGCCAGCCGCCGCGGUAACACCGGCGGCCCGGGUGGUGAUCGUGAUUAUUGGGUCUAAAGGGUCCGUAGCCGGUUUGGUCAGUCCUCCGGGAAAUCUGAUAGCUUAACUAUUAGGCUUUCGGGGGAUACUGCCAGGCUUGGAACCGGGAGAGGUAAGAGGUACUACAGGGGUAGGAGUGAAAUCUUGUAAUCCCUGUGGGACCACCUGUGGCGAAGGCGUCUUACCAGAACGGGUUCGACGGUGAGGGACGAAAGCUGGGGGCACGAACCGGAUUAGAUACCCGGGUAGUCCCAGCCGUAAACGAUGCUCGCUAGGUGUCAGGCAUGGCGCGACCGUGUCUGGUGCCGCAGGGAAGCCGUGAAGCGAGCCACCUGGGAAGUACGGCCGCAAGGCUGAAACUUAAAGGAAUUGGCGGGGGAGCAC
This 554-nucleotide ribosomal RNA is filed under the name uncultured archaeon. RNAcentral's name for it is "bacterial SSU rRNA". It matches the Rfam family "Archaeal small subunit ribosomal RNA", at positions 325 to 879 of the family's 1478-position model. The record is from RNAcentral.